Canis lupus familiaris (dog) is the source of this 642-nucleotide long non-coding RNA. RefSeq lists it as uncharacterized. The record is from RefSeq and is a predicted model, not a curated record. The transcript is spliced from 3 exons. NCBI's taxonomy places the organism in Eukaryota, Metazoa, Chordata, Mammalia, Carnivora, Canidae.
UUCGACCUAAAGGCUUUGAAUUAACGGUGCAAUUAGAUCUGAAAGCAACAUUUGGGUACAACUCCUUCCUGGUUGUGCCACGGAAUAUUAUGAUCUGCUUUCCAGCAACAUAACUGAAAACAGUUUGUGGGCUCUGUGUGGGGCAGGCAGUCCAAUUCGUCUCCACAACUGGCGGUUCUCGAGCACAGCAGUGAAGACACCCAGUGAGCCCCGUAAAAGGAAGAACCCCACGGCCUCUCUCUGAGGAGCCAGCCUCACAGGCCAUGCCCUGUGGAUAGGGUUCAUUGGAACGCCAGAUGCUCCCUGGGAGGCCACAGCCAUGCCAGGCUCCCCUCCCAUGGAUGUGAGGCUGCCUGCCUUCCAAUUCCACUGCUCACGAGUCAAGCACUGGCAGAGCCAGUCCCAUGGGUGCCCUUCAAACUCAACAGGUCUGAUGCUGAACUCGGCCUCUUCCUGCCCAAGCAUGCUGCUCCUCCCAUGUCCCCCAUCUCUGAGAAUGGCACUGUCAUCGACCCACCUGCCCAGAUUUCCUGCCCUAUGCAGGCUCUGCUCCUCCAGCCAUCCUACAGGCCCAGGACCACACAGCAGGACUGAAGAAUGGAUGGUUGACACUCACCCCUGAUGCAGGAUUGGCUGUCCAGC